RNAcentral lists this RNase P RNA (402 nucleotides) under Streptomyces sp. CB03238. RNAcentral describes it as "RNase P RNA component class A". It matches the Rfam family "Bacterial RNase P class A". From Rfam's summary of the family: Ribonuclease P (RNase P) is a ubiquitous endoribonuclease, found in archaea, bacteria and eukarya as well as chloroplasts and mitochondria. Its best characterised activity is the generation of mature 5'-ends of tRNAs by cleaving the 5'-leader elements of precursor-tRNAs. The record is from RNAcentral. Lineage: Bacteria; Bacillati; Actinomycetota; Actinomycetes; Kitasatosporales; Streptomycetaceae.
CGAGCCGGGCGGACGGCCGCGUGGAGACCCUCCGGGGAUCUUCCCGAGGAACGUCCGGGCUCCACAGGGCAGGGUGGUGGCUAACGGCCACCCGGGGUGACCCGCGGGACAGUGCCACAGAAAACAGACCGCCGGGGACCUCGGUCCUCGGUAAGGGUGAAACGGUGGUGUAAGAGACCACCAGUGCCCAGGGUGACCUGGGCAGCUAGGUAAACCCCACCCGGAGCAAGGUCAAGAGGGGACACCUCGGUGUCCCUGCGCGGACGUUUGAGGGCUGCUCGCCCGAGUCCGCGGGUAGACCGCACGAGGCCGGCGGCAACGCCGGUCCUAGAUGGAUGGCCGUCGCCCCGACGACCGCGAGGUCCCGGGGCACAGAACCCGGCGUACAGCCCGACUCGUCUG